Drosophila miranda is the source of this 337-nucleotide long non-coding RNA. RefSeq lists it as uncharacterized. The transcript has 3 exons. The record is from RefSeq and is a predicted model, not a curated record. Lineage: Eukaryota; Metazoa; Arthropoda; Insecta; Diptera; Drosophilidae.
CACGAACAGGACCAGUGACAGGGUUAAGCUUUUUGCUGAAAUUGCAUUUGGAAAGCCGCACGGCAAGUGAAUGAAGUAACGAGCAAAUAACUCAACGGAAAGGAGCCCGAAAGGCAGCACCCUUAGGGAGGAGCGCGUAAUAAUGCUGCCAGUAACGAGCAAAUAACUCAACGGAAAAGAGCCCGAAAGGCAGCACCCUUAGGGAGGAGCGCGUAAUAAUGCUGCCAGGUGAGUGCGCAUUAUUCAUUACCACACACCCUGCCCUACACCCCCGAAGGCACCCUGAGAGGAGUGGUAUUACCCGUAUGACUGUAGAAGCGAGAGGAUAUCCCCUAGA